RNAcentral lists this microRNA (22 nucleotides) under Oreochromis niloticus (Nile tilapia). Its description in RNAcentral is "oni-miR-10547c". Lineage: Eukaryota; Metazoa; Chordata; Actinopteri; Cichliformes; Cichlidae. The record is from miRBase by way of RNAcentral.
UUGACUUUCUGCCCUGAUGGCG